Molecule: non-coding RNA, 768 nt
Filed under: Amphimerus sp. JM-2019
Lineage: Eukaryota; Metazoa; Platyhelminthes; Trematoda; Opisthorchiida; Opisthorchiidae
Source: RNAcentral
GUUAUCUAUUUAGUUUUGGUUGUAGGAGGGGUUAUGAGGGAGUGCUACAUAGCUUUGUUCUAUUUUCUGGUUUAGUUGAUUUCUGUAUUUAUGGAGUGCUAGUAGUUAGAUUUCGUUCAUGAGCGAGAGCUUGAUCGAGCUCCUUUGUAGUUGGGUGGUUAAUUCGCAGUGCCAGCAUCCGCGGUUAUUCUGUUGAUCUUCCCUUCUUAUUGGUUGAAAUGGUUUGUGAGUGAGUUUGAGUUUGGGGGUAGAAUCUUAUUACUCUCUUUUUAUUUUCUCACAGGUUCUUUGAAGGGCUAUUGGAGAUGAGGAUUAGAGACCCUAGUAUUGAGUAAGAUUUGAUUUUGUGGCUUCAUGGUUUAAGCUAAAAAGACUUGGCAGCUGAUGAGGUUCUUCCGGGGGAGCGUGUAUUAUAAUAGAUAGUCCACUUAUGUUUUACCAUUUCUAGGUUAGUUAGUGUAUAUCCGGUUUAGAGAUCUAUAAUUAGUGUUUAUGGGUGUAUUUCUGUUGAUUUAAGCCAGGUCAAUGUGCUGCUAAUGGGAUGGUGUUUAUGCGCUACUUUAGUAAAAGUGGGUGAGUGAAAAUUUUCUUUGUAUUUAGGACUCGGAAGUAGGUGCAUUUAUAGGGGGUGUAUCGAAUUGAGAUUUAGUUGGGGUACACACCGCCCGUCACCCAAAGCGUUUAGCUUUGGUAAGUCGUAACAUGGUAAUACUGGGGGAACCGGGUAUUAGUUGGUGGUUGGUUUAUUUUUGCUACCUUAUGAAUUCG